Molecule: ribosomal RNA, 465 nt
Filed under: uncultured bacterium
Lineage: Bacteria
Description: bacterial SSU rRNA
Rfam family: Bacterial small subunit ribosomal RNA
Source: RNAcentral
ACGAACGCUGGCGGCGUGCUUAACACAUGCAAGUCGAACGGUGAAGGAAGAGCUUGCUCUUCCGGAUCAGUGGCGAACGGGUGAGUAACACGUGGGCAACCUGCCCCUGACUCUGGGAUAACUCCUCGAAAGAGGUGCUAAUACCGGAUACGACCACUUCGGACAUCCGAUGGUGGUGGAAAGUUUUUCGGUCAGGGAUGGGCCCGCGGCCUAUCAGCUAGUUGGUGGGGUAAUGGCCUACCAAGGCGACGACGGGUAGCCGGCCUGAGAGGGCGACCGGCCACACUGGGACUGAGACACGGCCAGACUCCUACGGGAGGCAGCAGUGGGGAAUAUUGCGCAAUGGCGAAAGCCUGACGCAGCGACGCCGCGUGAGGGAUGAAGGCCUUCGGGUUGUAAACCUCUUUCAGCAGGGACGAAGCGAAAGUGACGGUACCUGCAGAAGAAGCACCGGCUAACUACGUG